This 274-nucleotide long non-coding RNA is filed under the name Mytilus galloprovincialis (Mediterranean mussel). Lineage: Eukaryota; Metazoa; Mollusca; Bivalvia; Mytilida; Mytilidae. The record is from RNAcentral.
UCGUAUUAUUAAUUAAUUACCAAAUAGAAAACAAUAAACUUGCGGAAAAGAUGGUAUACCGCAAACAUGAGGUGCCAAAAUUUGUACAUCAUAUCCGGAUUUUGACAAUAAUGUCUCUUCAGUGGUGUAAGGAAUCGCAACGGUAUUUGGAAGGCCAUAUAAUUUAUCUCAAUUUAGAAUAGACUCUUAAAUUUUGAAAGAGUCAAGUUAAAUAGGACGAACGGAUCAUAUAAACCCGAAGGCAAAUAUAAUACAAGCCCAAGCGCAAAAAACC